GACCGACGGGAGCUUGCUCCCUUAGGUUAGCGGCGGACGGGUGAGUAACACGUGGGUAACCUGCCUGUAAGACUGGGAUAACUCCGGGAAACCGGGGCUAAUACCGGAUGCUUGAUUGAACCGCAUGGUUCAAUUAUAAAAGGUGGCUUUUAGCUACCACUUACAGAUGGACCCGCGGCGCAUUAGCUAGUUGGUGAGGUAACGGCUCACCAAGGCAACGAUGCGUAGCCGACCUGAGAGGGUGAUCGGCCACACUGGGACUGAGACACGGCCCAGACUCCUACGGGAGGCAGCAGUAGGGAAUCUUCCGCAAUGGACGAAAGUCUGACGGAGCAACGCCGCGUGAGUGAUGAAGGUUUUCGGAUCGUAAAACUCUGUUGUUAGGGAAGAACAAGUACCGUUCGAACAGGGCGGUACCUUGACGGUACCUAACCAGAAAGCCACGGCUAACUACGUGCCAGCAGCCGCGGUAAUACGUAGGUGGCAAGCGUUGUCCGGAAUUAUUGGGCGUAAAGCGCGCGCAGGCGGUUUCUUAAGUCUGAUGUGAAAGCCCCCGGCUCAACCGGGGAGGGUCAUUGGAAACUGGGGAACUUGAGUGCAGAAGAGGAGAGUGGAAUUCCACGUGUAGCGGUGAAAUGCGUAGAGAUGUGGAGGAACACCAGUGGCGAAGGCGACUCUCUGGUCUGUAACUGACGCUGAGGCGCGAAAGCGUGGGGAGCGAACAGGAUUAGAUACCCUGGUAGUCCACGCCGUAAACGAUGAGUGCUAAGUGUUAGAGGGUUUCCGCCCUUUAGUGCUGCAGCAAACGCAUUAAGCACUCCGCCUGGGGAGUACGGUCGCAAGACUGAAACUCAAAGGAAUUGACGGGGGCCCGCACAAGCGGUGGAGCAUGUGGUUUAAUUCGAAGCAACGCGAAGAACCUUACCAGGUCUUGACAUCCUCUGACAACCCUAGAGAUAGGGCUUCCCCUUCGGGGGCAGAGUGACAGGUGGUGCAUGGUUGUCGUCAGCUCGUGUCGUGAGAUGUUGGGUUAAGUCCCGCAACGAGCGCAACCCUUGAUCUUAGUUGCCAGCAUUCAGUUGGGCACUCUAAGGUGACUGCCGGUGACAAACCGGAGGAAGGUGGGGAUGACGUCAAAUCAUCAUGCCCCUUAUGACCUGGGCUACACACGUGCUACAAUGGGCAGAACAAAGGGCAGCGA
This 1201-nucleotide ribosomal RNA is filed under the name Bacillus sp. DV9-51. Its description in RNAcentral is "bacterial SSU rRNA". It matches the Rfam family "Bacterial small subunit ribosomal RNA", at positions 68 to 1252 of the family's 1533-position model. The record is from RNAcentral. Lineage: Bacteria; Bacillati; Bacillota; Bacilli; Caryophanales; Bacillaceae.